This is a non-coding RNA of Amborella trichopoda, 1073 nucleotides long. NCBI's taxonomy places the organism in Eukaryota, Viridiplantae, Streptophyta, Magnoliopsida, Amborellales, Amborellaceae. The record is from RefSeq and is a predicted model, not a curated record.
CCAACUCCAGCCAAUAUACCAUUAGCUCUAAAUUUGUUAGUGGAGGUUGCCGGAGAUUAUGGUGUCAUGGAUCUAUCUAUCUCAAUUGGAUUGGCUUCAGAAGACGAGAAAGAAUGUCUUUGAUGUGUUAAGAUAAGAUGAAAAAUCAAGGGAAUAAUGAUGGUGAGGACAAUGUACUAUUGUGCCUGAAAGAGAAGCACAUCUCUGAAAUGGUCUCCCAAGGAAAGGAGAGAUCAAGGUUUCAUAUCGACAAGUCCUUUCCAAGUGUCAAGGCAUGGCCCCAUUAGAGAGGAUCAACGUAACAUUGUUGAGAGGGUGGGGUUGUUGCCAUUGGUACAACUACCAAAGCAUCAGCCCAGAACUGUUGAUCAUCCAUUGAUUGUCACUAUGACAGCAAGGUGGCGUCCCGAAACAAACACCACCCAUCUACCGACAUGCAUCAGAGAGAUGAUGCCGACAUUGUAUGACGCAUGGCGGAUAUACCACCUUAACGUCACUGGUGAGCCCGUGUUGACUACAGAUUGCCAACCAUAUGUGACGUACAUAAACGAGUGGCUCGAGGAUUGCCCAGAGGAGGUUCAACUGCAUAUACUUAAGUUCAGAUGGUUGAAAAGUAGAUUCAUAGUGCUACCUAAGGAUGCAACGCAGGUGGUAAUAGAGCAACACAUGAGGGCUUAUUUGCUCUACCUAGUCGGCCGCACCAUCUUUUCCACUACGAAAGACAAUGAAGUGCCGCAAGAUACCUUACUUUGUUUGAAGAUUUCAAACGCGCGAGAUUAUAUGCUUAGGGUCCGCGGCUCUAGCAUACCUGUUUCAGUCCCUUCCGAAGUUUGUAACAGUGAAACUUGGUGAUACAACAUGUUCGCAUUUAAGUGGCUCGGUCACCCCUAUUUCAGGUUAAAAACUUCCUAUUAUAAUAUUUGUGUUUCUUUUUUUUUAUGAAAUAUUUGAGUUCCUCUUUUUUACCACCACAUAAAUCACUUUUUAUAUUUAAUGAUUUUUGUACUGUAUGUGUGCAGGCAUGAGUAUUAGAACAUAUGAAAACUCUCAAGCCCAAUAAAAAAAAAAAAGAC